ACGAACGCUGGCGGCGUGCUUAACCCAUGCAAGUCGAACGGAAAGGCCCUGCUUUUGUGGGGUGCUCGAGUGGCGAACGGGUGAGUAACACGUGAGUAACCUGCCCUUGACUUUGGGAUAACUUCAGGAAACUGGGGCUAAUACCGGAUAGGAGCUCCUGCUGCAUGGUGGGGGUUGGAAAGUUUCGGCAGUUGGGGAUGGACUCGCGGCUUAUCAGCUUGUUGGUGGGGUAGUGGCUUACCAAGGCUUUGACGGGUAGCCGGCCUGAGAGGGUGACCGGCCACAUUGGGACUGAGAUACGGCCCAGACUCCUACGGGAGGCAGCAGUGGGGAAUAUUGCACAAUGGGCGGAAGCCUGAUGCAGCAACGCCGCGUGCGGGAUGACGGCCUUCGGGUUGUAAACCGCUUUCGCCUGUGACGAAGCGUGAGUGACGGUAAUGGGUAAAGAAGCACCGGCUAACUACGUG
This 467-nucleotide ribosomal RNA is filed under the name uncultured bacterium. Its description in RNAcentral is "partial 16S ribosomal RNA". It matches the Rfam family "Bacterial small subunit ribosomal RNA", at positions 29 to 507 of the family's 1533-position model. The record is from RNAcentral.